CAGAUUGGUUGUCAACAAAUCUCACCAUUAGGACCAACCAGCAUCAAUCAGGGAACUCAUGUAUAAGAUUCGGAUCUGAUGGAACAACCACAUUGGUGGUCAAAAGCCAAAGCUGACCACUCCAACACAACCUAAGACAUUUGUGCUCCAAGACAACGUCAAGACAUUUGGUAGCUGAGAAUUUAGAAUUGGAAUGCAUUGCAGGAGCAAGGAGCAACUACACAAGAAUUAGUCUUUAAAUGAA
Long non-coding RNA from Triticum dicoccoides, 244 nucleotides. RefSeq lists it as uncharacterized. The transcript is spliced from 3 exons. The record is from RefSeq and is a predicted model, not a curated record. Lineage: Eukaryota; Viridiplantae; Streptophyta; Magnoliopsida; Poales; Poaceae.